CAAUAGAAGUUUAUGAUUUAGAAUAAAAAACACGCACAAGUAAAAAUGAAUCGUGUUAAUCUCUGGCAGUAAAAUAUUUAUCCCAUGAUGCAACACACACGAGUUUAGCGGGAAGUCUGAUAGCCAUGUUUGAAUUCACCGGAUGUUUAUUUCCAGAAGAAAAGUAUAAACAAACACGACGAUAGCCUAAAAACGAAGUUUGUUUCCCGUCUUACUGAAGAAGAUCGACUUACUUCAAGUUACCGACGAAUGAAUAUCAGCUUUCUCGUUGUUUUUGACGACCGAUGCAUAUUUUUACCGACAAACAUCGUUACGAGACAGGGGUUUUGAUGAUUAAUUUAUCACAGAUUACACGGCCGAAGGAAACGCAGUACCGAUCCAUGUGUUACAAUCAGACUGAGUCUGCAUGCAGUACAUUCUGGAAUGAGGAACACCGCAUGCAUUGUGGUCCAAAUUGAUGGCAUUGACUUAACACAAAGCAGAAAGGAAUGAAGAGAAAUUAAGAAGUUUAUGUUUCACAUUAAUUAAGAUUAUUCGAGAUAUGUUAUCUGUCGAGGUAUACAACAUUUCCUUUCAUAAUAAAAAUGUAAACAUUAAUAUAUAUAUAAAAAAAAAUCAUGUAUAUAAUCUAAAAAUCCUUGUUAGUUAUUUGUUGUACUAGCAAAAAAUAUAAUAUAGUCGUCUCAAGCUUGGUUGUAUUGAAAUCCCCGGGGACAGUGACAGAGAUAUAUCACUACAGUACGUGCUACAUCAAACAACACACCAUUGUUCAAAUUGUCAAUCAACAUUAAUAUAUUUCAUUUAGUCAGUAUUUAGAAUUGAUUCCAAAAUUAUGAUAAUCUUUUCACAGUUUAUUAGAAAUAAUGUUAAAUUCGAUAGAAGUCUUCGACUGUUGCUUGUUUUUGUUUAUUUUAAGUUCAUGGACACACAUGAAAACAGUUUCCAGUACAUCUGGGCUACUUCGAGGAAACUACAUAUACUGUCUGAAAUCAGUCUUGUGCGUCGGUGACAAAAUGUAUACAUAUCCUACUUUAACUCUGCUGGAAAAUAUUAUUUUGUACUAUUUUCCUACUAUUUUAGA
Pecten maximus is the source of this 1081-nucleotide long non-coding RNA. RefSeq lists it as uncharacterized. The transcript has 3 exons. The record is from RefSeq and is a predicted model, not a curated record. NCBI's taxonomy places the organism in Eukaryota, Metazoa, Mollusca, Bivalvia, Pectinida, Pectinidae.